AUGAAAUGCCUAGGGAAUUUAAAAGAAAGACAGAUUUGUGACAACCAGCCUUUCAUGCAAAUAGUCAUUCAAAUAAUAUUUCAGAAUACUGAAAGACAGGUGAAAAGAUAGACUGUUGGGUGUGGAAUAAGGGAUUUUCUAGAAGAAGGAAUCAGAAAACCACACAAGUGGGUGUGCUAGCGUGUGCCUCAUGAUUUAUACACCUUCUGUCAUUGAUCCCUAGAUUAUCUGUCCAUUAAAGACAAAAAAUAGUUGUGAUUGUGGCUCCACAGAGGAAGUUCUUUUAAAGGCGAACUUGAUUAUUCCCAUUUUAUAUAUAAGGCAAUGUUUUUUUAAAGAAAUCAUCCAAGAUCCUUGGAGCCUUAACUGAAGAGCCAAGAUUCAAUUCUAGGAAGUUUUAUCUUCACAAUCUAGGCUCUAUCAAUUUCUGGCUGCUGUAUACCAAGAAAGUAAGCAUUAGAAAUCAGGAUGGAUGUGAAUGUGUAGAUUAUGACAUAGUAUUCCUGAGUGCUUAAAAUGAAUGGUGUGCCCGGCAUUUGUGGCAGUUAUCCCGAUAGGAGUAUCAACACUUUACAGGCAAGAACUAUCAACCAGAAAUAACCAAUAGAAAUUUGAAUCAAGAAUCUAGAGACUUAUAUAUUUAAUCUGUCAGUAUUUCUAUAAGACCUAAAGCAACUGAACGUUGGGCCAAAUGUUUGGGAAUCCUUUUCAAAGAGCAAUAACUGAGUGUUCACUCUAUCCUAAUAGAUACUCUAGUUAGCCUCUUACUGACAUUAUGUCUUAAGGCUGAGGUAGAACAGAAGGCAAAGAUGGAAAACAAAGUAGUUACAGGACUGGACAAAAUGUAGGGGUUAGAUGUCACAGAUUUUAACAAAAAUUGGGUGGUAAGUUAUAUCAUAUACUACAGAGACCUUCAGAACAUUUAUUCUCUUUACUCCUGCAUGCCACAUCCUCUCUGACAAAAAGCCCAAAGAAUACCAUCUUAUCCUUACUUCCUACUCCCCUCCUUGCCCUCCAGAGCCUCACUGGAAUGAAACUACUAAUUUAAAAUAGUACACAUACUCCGUGACAGUCCUUUUUA
RNAcentral lists this long non-coding RNA (1081 nucleotides) under Capra hircus (goat). RNAcentral describes it as "lncRNA (ENSCHIG00010003807.1)". The record is from RNAcentral. Lineage: Eukaryota; Metazoa; Chordata; Mammalia; Artiodactyla; Bovidae.